RNAcentral lists this ribosomal RNA (261 nucleotides) under uncultured bacterium. Its description in RNAcentral is "partial 16S ribosomal RNA". It matches the Rfam family "Bacterial small subunit ribosomal RNA", at positions 565 to 826 of the family's 1533-position model. The record is from RNAcentral.
GGGNGNGUAGGCGGANUNAUAAGUCNGUGGNGAAAGCCGGNNGCUUAACUGCNGAACUGCCNUGGAUACUGUCAAUCUUGAGUACAUUUGAUGUGGGCGGAAUGUGUCAUGUAGCGGUGAAAUGCUUAGAUAUGACACAGAACACCGUUGCGAAGGCAGCUCACNAAACUGUAACUGACGCUGAGGCACGAAAGCGUGGGUAACAAACAGGAUUAGAUACCCUGGUAGUCCACGCUGUAAACUAUGAUUACUCGAUGUUGG